GUUCGAGACCAAAUAUGAAGAACUGGAUUUCAUCAGCGGGGGAGGAUGUGGAUCAGUGUACGCCGGCUUCCGCAGAGCCGACGACCUCCACGUUGCCAUCAAACACAUCCUGAAUGAAAUGAUCCUCAUCAAACAUGACGACGAAGAAGGGAACGUGAUCUCCAUCGAGGUCGCCAUCAUGCUGAAGCUGGCCGAAUCAGAGGGGCCAUCGCCACACGUUGCCUUGCUUGACUGGUACCAGUUGGAAGAAGAGCUGGUGCUGGUGAUGGAGAGGCCGAUGCCUGCUGAGGAUUUCCAUGACUACCUCAGAGAACAAGGAGGCUACAUAAAAGAAGAUGAAGCCAAGAUCCUACUGAGGCAGCUGGUCAAUGCGGCGCUCGAUCUAGAGAGCAAGAACAUUUUCAUCUCUCUGCAGAUUUCCAGCCGACUCCAGAACAGCUCACGAUUCACUGGAUCAGAAGAGGACGUGAGGAACUACAUCAUUCAUUCAUCAUUCAUCAUUGUAAGAAUUAUAAUAAAC
Gasterosteus aculeatus aculeatus (three-spined stickleback) is the source of this 520-nucleotide long non-coding RNA. The record is from Ensembl. Lineage: Eukaryota; Metazoa; Chordata; Actinopteri; Perciformes; Gasterosteidae.